This 251-nucleotide ribosomal RNA is filed under the name uncultured prokaryote. Its description in RNAcentral is "partial 16S rRNA". It matches the Rfam family "Bacterial small subunit ribosomal RNA", at positions 525 to 775 of the family's 1533-position model. The record is from RNAcentral.
ACGGAGGGUGCAAGCGUUAAUCGGAAUUACUGGGCGUAAAGCGCACGUAGGCUGCAGUUUAAGUCAGGGGUGAAAUCCCACGGCUCAACCGAGGAACUGCCUUUGAUACUGUACAACUUGAGUCCGGGAGAGGGUAGAGGAAUUCCGGGUGUAGAAGUGAAAUCCGUAGAUAUCUGGAGGAACACCAGUGGCGAAGGCGGCCACCUGGACCGGUAUUGACGCUGAGGUGCGAAAGCGUGGGGAGCAAACAG